RNAcentral lists this long non-coding RNA (1319 nucleotides) under Dromaius novaehollandiae (emu). RNAcentral's name for it is "lncRNA (ENSDNVG00000008825.1)". The record is from RNAcentral. Lineage: Eukaryota; Metazoa; Chordata; Aves; Casuariiformes; Dromaiidae.
CCGGAGCAGCUCUGAACAGCAGCCAGACUGGACCGCCGCCCUUCCGUUACAGGGGUAGUUAAUCAGUGAUUGCAAGUGGAGACGUCACCUCAGGGAGGAGAUGAGGAGGCAAAGUUCGCCCUAGCAGGCAGCUCGUCUGGAAGUCUGCACGAGUGGCAAGGCAGCCGGGUGUUUACUGCUUUCGUUCUCCGAAAGGUGACUCUGCUUUGCCYGUCCACUGCAGCACUUGACUAUUCAAACAUGGAGGGGAUUCGUSCAUCUUCUCGGUGUCUUGGCUGCUUUUGCCUAACUGUUCUGGGACAACUGACUCAAAGGAGAGAUUUGCCACUGAUGUAUGUGAGACCCGAUAUCACCCUCAGUGAUGAAGUGUCCCUGAUUUCUGACAGGACGAAAUACUGUGUGAGCAGUUACCUCUCCCAGUGACGUCCUUUGCAGCCUGUCACUUACUGGCUUCCUGCGUCUAAAAAGAAGCCUGCAAGAAAAGCCCAGCAGAGCUGGCCACAUCCCUGGAGCUGUUUUGUGUACGCGGAUCAACGUGUGGGUGGAAAACAGCAGGGCUGGGGUGGUGUUYGGCUAAAACCGGCCAGCGGGUCCACCAGUCCCAGCAGGCAAAACCAGUCUAACGUGCGGUCCUUUUACCUCCAGUUCCCUUUCAUCAGACGAUCCUAAAACACUCGAGAAAUACUAAUUCAUCCAACAGGCGUUGUUAUCUGCGYUGUAGAUGCAGGGCUCAAAACUGUGAACUUUUGAAACUCCCCGCGUAGUGAGAAUGAAGCUUUUCUUCAGGGGUUUGGAAAGACCUUCAAAACCAUUUCACUUCCGAUCGAAACGUCCUACCAGGCUCAGGAGCAACUCUGCUGUGACGGAAAAUUAUAUUAUUUUGCUACAGAGYGUGCUGAUGACAGUCACACACACUGCCAGCUACCUGCCUCCACCCAUGCUCUUGUCCCAUCCAAGUUCCCAGCACUUUGGCACCUGACAGACCAGCUCUUUCUCAAAACUGCAAGUCUCUAAGGGAAAUGAGGCUAUUGUCACUUGGGCUGGGGGCUCCUAAAGUCUGCUCUAGGCAUAUGUCUCUAACUGCAAAAAGAAAGACAGAUGAAUACAUGCGAGCAAAAUUUGUUAUUCCCUGAAGCCCAAUUUAACAUCCCAUUCCUAAAUUACCRUCUGUAAUAUUUAUUUUCUUCUGUUCCUAAGUUCUAUCUUUUCACUUUCUCACAUCUCAAGAAUUCACUUACUCUUAAAAAUAUGCAUCUUUGCUUUUUUUACAAGUCUGGCUGAAUCCAAAGACAUCGGGGAAGCUGAAAAACAGCAUAAAU